RNAcentral lists this transfer RNA (89 nucleotides) under Virgisporangium aliadipatigenens. Its description in RNAcentral is "tRNA-Sec". Lineage: Bacteria; Bacillati; Actinomycetota; Actinomycetes; Micromonosporales; Micromonosporaceae. The record is from RNAcentral.
CGGUGCUGGUCGGCGGGCGGGACGCCGGGCUCAAGCAGGCGCUGCUGGGUGCGUUCGGCGCGGCCGGGUUCGACGCGCGGGACGCCGCC